RNAcentral lists this ribosomal RNA (425 nucleotides) under uncultured bacterium. RNAcentral's name for it is "bacterial SSU rRNA". It matches the Rfam family "Bacterial small subunit ribosomal RNA", at positions 354 to 796 of the family's 1533-position model. The record is from RNAcentral.
GUGGGGAAUAUUGGACAAUGGGCGCAAGCCUGAUCCAGCCAUGCCGCGUGAGUGAUGAAGGCCCUAGGGUUGUAAAGCUCUUUCGCCAGGGACGAUAAUGACGGUACCUGGAUAAGAAGCCCCGGCUAACUUCGUGCCAGCAGCCGCGGUAAUACGAAGGGGGCUAGCGUUGUUCGGAAUCACUGGGCGUAAAGCGCACGUAGGCGGAUCUUUAAGUCAGGGGUGAAAUCCCGAGGCUCAACCUCGGAACUGCCUUUGAUACUGGAGGUCUCGAGUCCGGGAGAGGUGAGUGGAACUGCGAGUGUAGAGGUGAAAUUCGUAGAUAUUCGCAAGAACACCAGUGGCGAAGGCGGCUCACUGGCCCGGAACUGACGCUGAGGUGCGAAAGCGUGGGGAGCAAACAGGAUUAGAAACCCCAGUAGUCC